AGAAAGAACUCGAUUCAUUGCUCACGUUGAAUUUUCAGGCAUUCAAGAAAUGUGAUCUUGUGCCUAUAUGAAGUAUAAUCCCAGCGGGCCUCAGACCGCAACUUGCCUAUGGGGGGCGGGUUUCUGGGGUAAAAACACAUAGGAUCGCGGUGACGGGAGUCCGGACCUGAUCCGCUAAAACCUAACGGAAUCGCCGACUGAUCGCCCUGCCCCUCGGGCGGCGGAAGGUUAAAAAUAAUUGAGCGGGCUAAGCAUGUAGGGCCAAUGGCAGAGGGCUUGCGGACGCGGGUUCGAUUCCCGCCGCCUCCACCA
Molecule: transfer-messenger RNA, 312 nt
Filed under: Thiorhodococcus minor
Lineage: Bacteria; Pseudomonadati; Pseudomonadota; Gammaproteobacteria; Chromatiales; Chromatiaceae
Rfam family: transfer-messenger RNA
About the family: Bacterial tmRNA, also known as 10Sa RNA or SsrA, is named for its dual tRNA and mRNA-like properties. Its role is to liberate the mRNA from a stalled ribosome.
Source: Rfam by way of RNAcentral